AACGGCCGCGGUAUUUUGACCGUGCAAAGGUAGCAUAAUCAUUAGUCUUUUAAUAGGAGGCUGGCAUGAAGGGUUUGACGAAGUGCUAACUGUCUCAUUUAAUUUUAUAUUAGAAUUUAACUUUUCAGUGAAAAGGCUGAAAUGUAAUUGGAAGACGAGAAGACCCUAUAGAGUUUUAUAACUUUAAUUUUUAUUUAUUUAUUAGUCAUUUUUAAUUUUUAGGUUAUUUUGUUGGGGUGACAAGAAUAUAAGUUCAACUUUUCUAUUUAUUUAUCAUUGAUUUAUGUUUGUUAGAUCCAAUCUUAUUGAUUGUUAGAUUAAGUUACCUUAGGGAUAACAGCGUAAUCCUUCUUGAGAGCUCAUAUCUACAGAAGGGCUUGCGACCUCGAUGUUGGAUUAAGAUAAUGGUUAGGAGCAGCGUCUUAAUACAUAGGUCUGUUCGAC
This 444-nucleotide ribosomal RNA is filed under the name Hemigomphus magela. Its description in RNAcentral is "partial 16S ribosomal RNA". It matches the Rfam family "Archaeal large subunit ribosomal RNA", at positions 2003 to 2654 of the family's 2987-position model. The record is from RNAcentral. Lineage: Eukaryota; Metazoa; Arthropoda; Insecta; Odonata; Gomphidae.